GUUGCCGGUGCGGCCCGACGUCAACUACCCAAGAACCAGGGGGAAGAAAGAACCCUUCCCCGCCCCUCCAGCCUCCCCGUCACCCACAAGGGUGGGUUUCGCCAACUGGGCUGGAUUUCGGGCGGGUUGACGGGCAUAUGCUCGCCGCAACAACCGCACACAGACGUCGGCCCCCGGCGGGAGUAGCAAUCCCGGUCGAGGGCCUGACCACCGAGGAAGGCAUCAACUUCCUG
RNAcentral lists this non-coding RNA (233 nucleotides) under Streptomyces sp. NBRC 110611. Its description in RNAcentral is "Streptomyces sRNA 4677". It matches the Rfam family "Streptomyces sRNA 4677". From Rfam's summary of the family: Located in the intergenic region between anti-sigma factor SCO4677 gene and a putative regulatory protein gene SCO4676. scr4677 expression requires the SCO4677 activity and scr4677 sRNA itself seem to affect the levels of the SCO4676-associated transcripts. The record is from Rfam by way of RNAcentral. Lineage: Bacteria; Bacillati; Actinomycetota; Actinomycetes; Kitasatosporales; Streptomycetaceae.